Dufourea novaeangliae is the source of this 3493-nucleotide RNA transcript. It is a transcript of the gene named basigin, with no coding region annotated. NCBI's taxonomy places the organism in Eukaryota, Metazoa, Arthropoda, Insecta, Hymenoptera, Halictidae. The transcript is spliced from 6 exons. The record is from RefSeq and is a predicted model, not a curated record.
GCGAAAAGGAGGGAACGAGUGGCGAGAAAGUAAGAGCGAUACCCGCGCAGAAAAUUAAGCAGAAGACAGUGGCAGCCAUUUUUCCUGACAUUGCCGUUCCUGCGGCUCGCGGUGCUAAUUGUCGUUGAUUCUCUUACGGCCGCUUUCGAGCCGAUCGGAGCAGCGACGUGAACGGGUGUCCAUAGACGGGAUCGCGGUGUUAUUUUGUGCACACCGAGAGAUAAAAGGUGGCGCGAGAUAACGAUAAGAGAAUUUUAGACGUCAAUGGUACGGCGUGGCUCUGAGUGACGAGUGCGUGUGUAAACGAUCGCCGAGAGUAGUGGGGCUCGAGAUCUUAGUUGGCCGAGUGGACAGCCGUAAAGGAGGAGCUGCUGCCGACAACGGGAAGGGUGUUACAGGAGGCGACAGCGACGGCAACGGUGACGACAACGACGAUCACGAGGACAACGACGACGGCGACGAUACGACGGAAACGGCAACGAUCGCGGAUACGGAGUUACGGCAGCCCAGCCUAGGCGCCCUUAUUUCGUGGGUUUCGUCCCUAGAAACCCUCCUCGAAACGGGGAAUCGUUAGUAUUGCACAGUGCACACAGUCACGCGCCACCGCGUACAUCAGCGCCACGAGAUGGAGAGGCGAGCUGCUUUUGUGCUGCUGGGGAUGCUAUAUUUAGCGGGCACCCUCGUCACGGUCCAGGCAGUAACUUACACGGGAGCGUCGGUCGUGCACGAGGGCCAACCUUGGAGGAUCGAGUGCAGUGGCCUGAAGCCGGACGAUCUGAUCAGAUGGACCAGAAACGGGCAGUCGCUCGAGCCGGAGUUGGCCAGCGGUCAGUUGGUCGUCGACUCGCACGUGGCCAACGGAAGCAGUACACUUCGGGCGAAGUACGCCACCGAUAGCCACGACGGGGACUACAAAUGUACCCCGGACAGCAGCGAUGUCUUUCAUCUAUGGAUAUACUUUGAUAUCAAGAUUAAAGUACUUACCCCGAAGGACACGCCUAUGACGCUAGAAUGCGCGAACAAGACGGCCGGCUCGAAGGUGAAUUGGUUUAAGGAAGACGUUCCGAUAUACACAGCCUUGGCUGGCAGCGAGGACCACUUCAAGGUGGACAACGAAACUGGCACGCUGGAGCUCGUCUCGGCCAACGAUGUCAUCUACGGAAAUUACACUUGCAAAGGACACAAUUCCUCCACAGAGUAUAGGAUCGUACCAAGACCCACAGCACACUUGGUCGAGUCUAUCAGCGUGGUGGAAGGGGAGAAGCUGCAUUUAGUGUGUACCGGCAAGCAGAGUCCCGGUAUCAAAGUAUCAUGGACAUUCGGGGACCAGAAUUACACGCGUAGCAAAGGCCGCGUUAAGAUCGAACGGGACCGAGAGAGGGGCAUCUACGGAGCCGUGCUGAGUGUUGAAAAUAUCGAGAUGAACGACCGUGGCAACGUUUACUGCAGGGUAUCAUACAACUGGUCCGACCCCGCUGAGACUCAUACCGCAGAGGCCCAAUCGUUGCUCAGGGUCAAAGACAAGCUCGCCGCGCUCUGGCCGUUCCUAGGCAUUUGCGCGGAAGUGAUUGUACUGUGCGCCAUCAUCCUAGUCUACGAGAAGAAACGAAACAAGGCUGAACUCGAGGAAUCCGACACUGAUCAGAGUCCCGACACCAAACCAACGCCCAACAAGGAUUCCGAUGUCAGGCAGAGAAAGUGAAACGGCGAAUAAUAAGCGGUGGACGAAUGAGAGAGAUGCAGGAUAGCAGAAACGGAUAAUGGAGGAAUGAUCGUGGGGCAUUUAUUGCCGGAGUGACAAUAUAGAUGAUAGCUGUACAGGAGAGAAUCGCGGUAGAGAGAGAAAGAGAAAGAGAGAGAGAGAAAGAAGAAAGAGAGAGGUAGGGAGAUAUAGCUUGGUAAAAGAAUUUCCGAAAAACGAGAAAGACACAUCGUUCAAGGAAACGAAUAAAAAAAAUGAAGUAAUAGAACAUAAAAAAAAAGAAACAAGAACGGUAAACCCGUUUUGAAGUGGACAGAGAGACAGAUUGAGAGAGAGAAAGAUAGAGAGAGAGCGAGAGAGAUUAUUAUAUAAAUAUUAUAUACAUAAAUAAAGUUCGAGUGACGGGCGAUAAUAGCCGGUCGUUUCGAGUACAUUACCUGCGUGGAAAACAGGCUUCGUCUGAGCACAGAAUGCAGCAGCGCGUGCGCGGGAUAUUACGAUUUACUAACAAAUUAAAGUUAAGCCUUACUAUCGUGUUCACUCCAUUUAUCAGAUGUUCGCCUGUCCGUACUCUCGACUACAUACACUGCUUUGAUCGACAAAUUGGAGCUGACAAGAGAGUGAGAGAGAGAAAGAGAAAAUUUUUGUGCUAUUAUAUUGAUCUUGCGCGUGUUUGUAUGUGACGAUAAGAAUGUGCGUGGAAAACCGGAAUAUAAGCGAAAUAAAACAGAGAGAAGAACAGAUAUAAAGAAACCGUGACGGAAAAAAAAAAAAUAAGAGAAAGGAUUAGGCAAAAAUGAGCACAGGGCGAGAGAGGGAGGGAGUGUUUCAUGUGUGUGUCUGUACUGCGCGUGACGUGUGCGCAUGCUUGCAUGCGCCUGCCUGAAUGAAAGAAUGCGAUAGUGACGAAUAAGAAUAAUAAAUCACAUAUAUAAUUCGGAACAGCAUACCCGCCGAAACUGAUAUAUACACGAGUAUAGUAAUGGAAGAUCGUCUAUGAAGUUUUUAUGGUUUCCUGUUCGUGUAACCGUCAAUGACCUUGAAUGAUUUUCAUCUGUGUUGAGAACGUACUCGUGGAAGCUGUAAUGAGAUAGAAAAGCAAAACGAAGCAAUGUUUCAGGUAGGUGGAACACACGCUCUGUAUGUAUACUAUAUGUUUGAGACGCAUUUAUUCUCGUAAUCCCGAAGAAUCAUUUUCUUGACCCUAUCCACACUGAGCUUCGGCGGGUAUGCUGGACCUGAUUUCAGAGCGUGUAGGCCCCCUUGUUUCUCAUACUUCGCACGUGUGUGACCGAAGAGAAUUUAAAGAAAGGAAAAAAAAGAUGUUUUACGGUAGGACCGAACAAAAAAAAAUUAUAUGCUCGAUUACUAGUUAUGUAAUAAUAGGAUCACGAGGCAAUGCGUGCUAUUAAUUGGCUUCCGAACGCAAUCCAGACUUUCUCAGUGGCAUUGAAAAAGCUUACCUGGGUGGCGUCGCCUUAUUAUAAUUAUUAUUAAUUACUUAAUUAAUUAUGAUCUUGAAAUAUUCCAUCGCUCAUGGAGAAAAACACAUGCACAUAAAUAUACAUACACAUACACACACAUAUACACACAGAGAGAGAGAGACACAGAAAGAAGACACACGUCGGAAGUCAUGUUUUUGCGCGCGACGCCGUUGUUAACGACGUUAAAUGUAAUUAUUAAUACUGUAAUCUUAUUGCCAUCGUUACUACUGCUGCUACUAUCGUUAUUAUGAUUAUUACAAGUAUUAUCGUUAAUUUUACCACUAUUGUAAUAAUUUAUAAUCCGUAC